UAUGAGCAUGGCAAGCUCCAGGAAGGUGAAUGCCAUUUAAGAAGCCGUUGCUGGGUUAAACUAACUGCAAAACUGUUAAAUUAUUUUUGUUUCCAUUUUAUUGCUUAACCUCCAGGGUAAACUUCAGGCUACCUGAUAAAGCAGCCACUCAGGAACUUUAAACUUUACAUGCCUCGCCCCAGAGGGCCGAAGCCGACUCCUGUAUUAAAGGUGUGGAGAAAGGCACAUCCUGGGGAUACCAGUCUCCUAGGUUGGUACUCUCUAUCGAGAAAAAAAAAUGACAUCGUCAAGAAUGAAGACGUAACGUAUUCAUCAGAGCCUGCCUUCCCUUUAUUUUGUAGUUCCCUGAAAGCUAUCUGCCAUCCUAAGCCUGCGUCCAUCUUCCCUGCACAAGUGAUAUCUUGAUUGACACCUCUCCAAAUAAGCUUGUGAAUAGCUUUCCGUAUCAGCCUCAGAAUAAUUCAGAUGUCAAAUUACAGCUCGCAGACUCCCUGACUCCUCUAGAGCCCCAGAAUGCAUUUUUAAAAUAUUUGGGAGAAAAUAUUAAAUUUUGUUCAGGUUGGGUCAAAGUUCAUAUCAUUUGGUAAUAAAGAGCCACGGAGGGUGUUUGCCCAGGAAGGGGUGGGGGGCUGCGUUGAUUUUAUUUUGUGCGACAGCUGCAGGUCAGGCUGACCCUUGUGAGUGGUUUGGAGUUUACGAGCCUGCAGCUUUCGGCAUCUUUGCCGUUUGCUGCGGGUUUCCUUUGGACAGAAAAGGGACCGAGGAAAGAAAGAAGGGGAAAAAAAGCGACGCAUUUUCUGUGCAGGAGUCCUGGCUCAUGUCACCUCUAAAUAUGCAGCUUUAAUUGCUCCUCUCGGCAGCAGCAAGGGAAGAGGUGAUCAUAGUUCCGUGUUUUCAUCACUGUUGAAACCGCACUGCCGACUCAGCCCAGAUUCCCGUCCUGCAAACCGCACAGAAGCGUUUCUCACAAGCGAGAAGGCAAAGCAGUGCCUGCCGGGCUGAUAAUGACCACUUUUCAUAAUAUUUGUUGGAUGCUCUGUAACGUGUGGCUGAGAAAACUCUUGUUAUUACUGGCUGUUUGCGCAGCUGUAAAUAUUUAACCAAGAAUGCUACCUGCUUUGUGGAAAGACUCGCUAAUUACACCUGCUCCUCUCUAUAAUUACAUAUUGUUGUGAAAAUUCCAGGAUAAUGACACAACUGUGUCUUCCUCAUGCAAGGGGUAAAUUUAUACCGAGGGCGGCACUUGAAUUUCCAUAAGCAAUUAGCCUACACAUUUUCAUCCCUGUGUUUUCCCUGUGAUUUUAUUGAAAUGAAAGAUAAUGAAUUAAAUCCAAUUACAGCAAGAAGACAGCUAGCAACUAGAUGUUCAUUGUGAACCACAGUUCUACUUCGUAAGCAAAGUGAGGAGAGCUCUUGCUUCAUACGGCAGAGGCAUCCUGAUAAAUUAGAAAUCUCAGUCUGAUAGCACAGACCCUGCUGAACAGCUCUUAUUGGAGUCUGGGUUUCUCUUGACAAAAUGCUUCUCGAAAAGGUGCAUAUUUCUAGGCUGAUGAAUGUGAGGGACUCCUCUUGGCUUGUAGCCUGAUUAUUGGUGGAACAUCUCUAUAAAAAAUGUUUCCCCAGAUGCCAUAAUAAAGCCCAUGGCAGUAAUCCAUAGUUCACAGGGUUUGUUGAAGGGAGCGCGAGAGAGACCUCUGGAAUUCAGGAAAUAGGAGACAGGUAAUAUCCUUAUCUUAUUACUUUCAAACAUGGGCAUUCCUAUUCUUUUGGAAAUCUCGGCUCUCCAGGAGAUGUAGAGAGAAGUAACCUGGAUCCAGGCUACAAAAAAGGCUCACCUGCUCUAAUCAGGAGAGCGUUCAAAGAUGCAGAGCCCCAGUUCCCGAAAAACAAAACGAAGUAAGUGGUGUGACGGUACAGACACUUCCCAAAUCAAUAUGUCUCUACAUCUUUAUUGCUUUCGUUUCCUUUCUGCUCCCUCACCACCUCGUCUCUCCACCUCUCGUCUCCCUCUGUAUAAAUGCAGGCAUCUCCAGAUGUCAGAAGCGGAGAAGUGACCCAUCCUUUAACGGCACAGGGGACAGUGAUGUUCUGAUCUCUGCGUCAUUUCAGACACAAACACAUUUCCCAGGACUACAGCCUCUCCAGAACAGUUUCAAACCUGCUGAUGAAUUCCCUAUUUAUCUAGUGGUCAUGAUUAUUCCUACUAACACUUUGGUAAAUGUGGGAGUGAUGGCAGAAUUACACCAGGCGGGGAGAGGAAGAUCCGUGACAGCCCGGCCGGCCGGGGACCGGGAGCUGACAGGCGGCCCUGCCCAGCCCAGCCAGGGAACCUUCCUCUUCGAUUUCCUCUCAGUGGCUGGGCUGGAGGGUGGCUGCCUAAUGGUUUGCUGUCAAUACAGUAAAAAUGCUAACCCGUCUUUACAUUGAAUCCAGUCUGAGAGGGCUCUUUACCUAAACGGCUUCUGCCUUUUCCUCACUUUCAGAAAAGCCCAUCAAAUAAGAUUGAACCACGCAGGCUGUCAGUACAGUGGUUUUGUGUGUGCGUGUUUUUAAAAAAGCACAAUGACUAAUUUGGAGACACAGCAUUUUGUGUUAAGUUGUCUUUGACUAUUUUCUUCCUUGCUGUUUUUUUUUUAAGGCCUCUAAAAAUCAAUACUAUGCUCCACUACCAUCCAUCUUUAUAUAGUAAUAAAUUAAGUGGGGGGUAUUGAUAUUUUUGGCUGCGCCUUUAAAAUUUACAUACUAAUGACAAUUAUACCCUUGUGGCUGCUGAUUUCUGCUGCUGUUUACUGCUUGUGACUUGGGAAAGAGGUGGUUGAGUUUCGCCUGUUUGGCCUGAUGUUCCUCAGUGUUCCCGCACCUCCAUCCACGGCUCAGAUGGAGGGUGGUCAAAAACCCAGUUCCAACCAAGGAAGGGAGAGCUUAGAAAAGUCUGGCUCGUCUGCUGUCUUUGUUGCUCUCCUGGAGAAGUUCUACAGGAACCCAACCAAGGACAGGCCGAAAGACUUCAGACUGGGUGAUGGAUGUGGUGGAACUGAGCUUGGGUGAUAUCAAAAUAAUUCAAUAACGGUGAGCAGUGGCCCCCACCAGUCAGCGCUUGGUGGGGAUGUCCUGAAGGGCCUUCUGCUUGGCCAGAUGUUAACCCUUGAGGUGCCGAAUUAAGGGAAGGGAGGAGGCCCUGGGGUAUGGCCAGGGCAGCAGGCAGCAGAAGGCUUGGAGGGGAAUGGCUAUUUAUCACCCGGUACAAAAUAUCCCCAAAUUUAAUACGAUGCAGAUUGGGUGAAUUUCAGCCCCAAGCAUGAGUCACAAAUUUCAGAAUCUUGGGGAAGUCUCAGAAGUAUUGUGUGCCCUUUCCUUACGAAAAAAAUAGACUAGAAUUUUGAAACCUUAAAUGUGGAGUGCCUGGCCUACCUCGUGCUUCCAAACAAUUUCUGAUAAACUCGGAAUUGGGGCAAAAAUGUAGACAACCGCCCCUGCUCUCCCCUUCUCCCUGUGCACAAAUGCAAACAGCUUCUCCCUCCCUCAGGACGAGUUAGAGGCAGCGUCUCAGCAUUUGGCAAGUGUAUGUUCUGAAGCAGAAAGUCCUAGCAGAGAGGGGAUAAAAGGAGCAAGGUCAGGCCCGCUCUGCGGUUUUAUUCUAUGAAACCAAACCCCUCCCUGGUCAGCUGGCGUGCUACCUCCAUGUAGAUGACCAGGAGAAAUACCAACCCACUGGCACAAAGGUCUCAAGCGCAUUUAACAAUUAUUUUGGGGACCGGGACAGCCUUGAAGUGAACAACGGCUUAUACACAGAGAUUAGUAUGUCAGUAAUACUGAUUGUCGGAGGCCUGCUUCAUUCUAUUUAAGAUUCCACAAGCCACAGACAGCAGUCACUCAGGCGUGAUUUUUCCCUCUAGAAUUUCCAGGAUGUUGAAGAGGCGAAUCCAGGAGACGCCGUAUGGCGAGUUCUGUCCAACUAGACGCUGCAGGCUGAUCCCCAAGGGAAGGUGUGUGGAUUUUGUUUACAUUCUGCCAAGGCCGCAGUCAAUUGUUUGCUUACCCGCCAGUCCUUUUUUUUCACCCCUCUAAGGUGGGUUGCCCCAUGUUCCAGGCACCUAUCAUGGAGAGAAGCCAGGAGAGCCUUCCAGACUCAACCUUACAUCCUUCAGCAGGGUUACCCAAAUAUGAAGGCUGCUGGAAGUUCGGUUUCUCCGGUUUCCCGCUGCACGGAGAUUGCUCCGUUCCAUCCAACCAUCCAGGAAGUGCCUUUGCAAGAGCGUCUAUUAAAAAAAAAAAAAA
Vicugna pacos (alpaca) is the source of this 4278-nucleotide non-coding RNA. Lineage: Eukaryota; Metazoa; Chordata; Mammalia; Artiodactyla; Camelidae. The record is from RefSeq and is a predicted model, not a curated record.